Molecule: ribosomal RNA, 423 nt
Filed under: uncultured bacterium
Lineage: Bacteria
Description: partial 16S ribosomal RNA
Rfam family: Bacterial small subunit ribosomal RNA
Source: RNAcentral
GAAUCUUCCGCAAUGGACCAAAGUCUGACGGAGCAAUGCCGCGUGAACGAUUAAGCCCGUUGGUUCGUAAAGUUCUGUUGUUUGGGAAGAACAAGUAUCGGAGUAACUGCCGGUAUCUUGACUGUACCUAACCAGAAAGCCAUCACUAACUACGUCCCUGCAGCCGCGGUAAUACGCAGGUGGCAAGCGUUGUCCGCAAUUAUUGGGCGUAAAGCGCGCGCAGGCGGUCUCUUAAGUCUGAUGGGAAAGCCCACGGCUCAACCGUGGAGGGUCAUUGGAAACUGGGGGACUUGAGUGCAGAAGAGGAAAGCGGAAUUCCACGUGUAGCGGUGAAAUGCGUAGAGAUGUGGAGGAACACCAGUGGCGAAGGCGGCUUUCUGGUCUGUAACUGACGCUGAGGCGCGAAAGCGUGGGGAGCAAACA